AAGGGUUUAGGUAAACUGGGACCUGGAAGAAUCCAUUGAAGGGUUUAGGUAAACUGGGACCUAGAAGAAUCCACUGAAGGGUUUAGGUAAACUGGGACCUGGUAGAAUCCAUUGAAGGGUUUAGGUAAACUGUCUGGGAACUGAAGAAUCCAUUGAAGGGUUUAGGUAAACUGGGACCUGGUAGACUCCAUUGAAGGGUUUAGGUAAACUGGGACCUGGUAGAAUCCAUUGAAGGGUUUAGGUAAACUGGGACCUGGUAGAAUCCAUUGAAGGGUUUAGGUAAACUGGGACCUGGUAGAAUCCACUGAAGGGUUUAGGUAAACUGUCUGGCACCUGAAGAAUCCAUUGUCGGGUUUAGGUAAACUGUCUGGGACCUGGAAGAAUCCAUUGAAGGGUUUAGGAAAACUGUGACCUGGUAGAAUCCAUUGAAGGGUUUAGGUAAACUGUCUGGGACCUGAAGUAUCCAUUGAAGGGUUUAGGUAAACUGGGACCUGAUGAAUCCAUUGAAGGGUUUAGGUAAACUGUCUGGGACCUGGAAGAAUCCUUUGAAGGGGUUAGGUAAACUGUCUGGGACCUGGAAGAAUCCUUUGAAGGGGUUAGGAAAACUGUCUGGGACCUGAAGAAUCCAUUGAAGGGUUUAGGUAAACUGGGACCUGGUAGACUCCAUUGAAGGGUUUAGGUAAACUGGGACCUGUAAGAAUCCAUUGAAGGGUUUAGGUAAACUGUCUGGGACCUGAAGAAUCCAUUGAAGGGUUUAGGUAAACUGGGACCUGGUAGAAUCCAUUGAAGGGUUUAAGUAAACUGUCUGGGACCUGAAGAAGCCAUUGAAGGGUUUAGGUAAACUGUCUGGGACCUGAAGAAUCCAUUGAAGGGUUUAGGUAAACUGGGACCUGGUAGAAUCCAUUGCAGGGUUUAGGUAAACUGGGACCUGGUAGAAUCCAUUGAAGGGUUUAGGUAAACUGGGACCUAGAAGAAUCCAUUGAAGGGUUUAGGUAAACUGGGACCUGGUAGAAUCCAUUGAAGGGUUUAGGUGAACUGGGACCUAGAAGAAUCCAUUGAAGGGUUUAGGUAAACUGGGACCUAGAAGAAUCUAUUGAAGGGUGUAGGUAAACUGGGACCUGGUAGAAUCCAUUGAAGGGUUUAGGUAAACUGGGACCUAGAAGAAUCCAUUGAAGGGUUUAGGGAAAC
Long non-coding RNA from Oncorhynchus tshawytscha (Chinook salmon), 1188 nucleotides. Lineage: Eukaryota; Metazoa; Chordata; Actinopteri; Salmoniformes; Salmonidae. The record is from Ensembl.